CCAUGUGUUCAUCAGAAGAUUUUUUAGAUCCAUCAGGCUCAGAUGUCCUCCUUAGGAGGACAUCUGAGCCUGAUGGAUCUAAAAAAUCUUAGGAGGACAU
RNAcentral lists this microRNA precursor (100 nucleotides) under Pelobates cultripes (western spadefoot toad). Lineage: Eukaryota; Metazoa; Chordata; Amphibia; Anura; Pelobatidae. The record is from RNAcentral.